This 2624-nucleotide ribosomal RNA is filed under the name human gut metagenome. RNAcentral's name for it is "bacterial LSU rRNA". It matches the Rfam family "Bacterial large subunit ribosomal RNA", at positions 1 to 2567 of the family's 2925-position model. The record is from RNAcentral.
GCAAGAUACCACGGGCGCACGGCGGAUGCCUUGGCACAGGGAGCCGAUGAAGGACGCGGCAAGCUGCGAUAAUCCCCGGCGAGGAGCACACAUCCUUCGACCCGGGGGUCUCCGAAUGGGCGAACCCAUCCACAGAGGUGUGGAUAUCCCCACCCCGAACACAUAGGGGCGGGGAGGACAACCCGGGGAACUGAAACAUCUAAGUACCCGGAGGAGAGGAAAUCAAUCUCGAGACUCCCCGAGUAGCGGCGAGCGAAAGGGGACCGAUGGCCAAACCGUCGAGCGGGCGUACCCGGCAGGGGUUCCGCCGGCGGGGUUGCAGGGCCGCGCAUCCGGGGGCUGCCGCCCCCGGGCGCAGGUCCGGCUGGGGAGCGGAACGGCAUGGGAGGGCCGGCCGCAGCGGGUGACAGCCCCGUACGCGAACCCAGACCGGACGGCGCGACGCGGUCCCUGAGUAGGGCCGGGCACGUGAAACCCGGUCCGAACCUGGGUGGACCACCAUCCAAGCCUGAGUACUACCCUGUGACCGAUAGCGCACCAGUACCGUGAGGGAAAGGUGAAAAGCACCCCGGGAGGGGAGUGAAACAGUACCUGAAACCGUGCGCCCACGAGCAGUCGGAGCACCCUUGUGGUGUGACGGCGUGCCUUUUGUAGAAUGAGCCAGCGAGUCGCUGGCGCGGGGCGAGGUUAACCGAAAGGGAGCCGGAGCGAAAGCGAGCCUUAACAGGGCGACUUGAGUCCCGCGCCGCGGACGCGAAGCCGGGUGAGCUAUCCGUGGGCAGGCUGAAGCGGGGGUAAGACCCCGUGGAGGGCCGAACGCACGUCGGUUGAAAACGGCGGCGAUGACCUGCGGAUAGGGGUGAAAGGCCAAUCAAACCCGGAGAUAUCUCGUUCUCCCCGAAAUAGCUUUAGGGCUAGCGUCGCGCGUUCACCGCCGGAGGUAGAGCACCGGAUGGACGAGGGGGCUUCGCCGCCUACCGAAUCCAACCGAACUCCGAAUGCCGGCGGCCCAGAGCGCGGCAGUCAGAGCAUGUGGGCUAAGCUGUGUGCUCGAGAGGGAAACAGCCCGGACCGCCCGCUAAGGUCCCCAAGUUCCAGCCGAGUGGCAAAGGAUGUGCGUCCGCCCAGACAACCAGGAUGUUGGCUUAGAAGCAGCCAUGCAUUCAAAGAGUGCGUAACAGCUCACUGGUCGAGUGGACAUGCGCCGACAAUACACGGGGCUAAGCUGGACACCGAAGCGGCGGGAUUUUAUCUAUAUAGAAUCGGUAGGGGAGCUUCCCAUGGGCGGUGAAGCCGCCGGGCGACCGGCGGUGGAGCGCAUGGGAGUGAGAAUGCUGGCAUGAGUAGCGAGAGACGAGAGAGUAACUCGUCCGCCGUGAACCCGAGGUUUCCUGGGCAAGGCUAAUCCUCCCAGGGUCAGUCGGGGGCUAAGGCGAGGCCGGUAGGCGUAGCCGACGCGCAGCAGGCAGACAUUCCUGCACCGCGCACGCGGCGCUACGACCGACGGGGCGACGGAUGGGGGUGGCUCGGCGGGGUUCUGGACGUCCCCGUGAUGGAGCGCGGCCCGCGGACCAGGGAAAUCCGGUCCGCAGAAGGGCGAGGCUCCGGACGAAGCGAUCAAGCGAAGCGAGUGAGCCCGAGGUCCCUAGAAAAACCCCUAGGCAGGCGCGUGCGCGCCCGUACCGCAAACCGACACAGGUGGGUGGGUAGAACAUACCGAGGCGAUCGGGUCAACCAUGGUCAAGGAACUCGGCACAAUGGCCCCGUAACUUCGGGAGAAGGGGUGCCCGCGCGUACGUGAACGGACUUGCUCCGGGAGCGGAGGCGGGCCGCAGUGGAGAGGCCCAAGCGACUGUUUACCAAAAACACAGGACUCUGCAGAAGCCGCAAGGCGACGUAUAGGGUCUGACGCCUGCCCGGUGCCGGAAGGUCACGCGGAGGAGUUAGCCGCAAGGCGAAGCCCCGAAGCCAAGCCCCGGUAAACGGCGGCCGUAACUAUAACGGUCCUAAGGUAGCGAAAUUCCUUGUCGGGUAAGUUCCGACCUGCACGAAAGGCGCAACGACUUGGGCGCUGUCUCGACCAUGGACCCGGUGAAAUUGCACUGGUCGUGAAGAUGCGACUUACCCGCGGAAGGACGGAGAGACCCCGUGAACCUUCACUGCAGCUUGGCAUUGGCCGCUGGUCCCGCGUGUAGAGGAUAGGCAGGAGGCACAGAUCCGGAGGCGCCAGCCCCCGGGGAGCCGCCCUUGGAAUACUGCCCUCGCGCGACCGGCGUCCUAACCCGAGGCCGUCAACCGGCUCGGGGACCGUGCCAGGCGGGCAGUUUGACUGGGGCGGUCGCCUCCUAAAGGGUAACGGAGGCGCGCGAAGGUCCGCUCGGGACGGUCGGCAACCGUCCUUUUGAAUGCAAGAGUACAAGCGGGCUUGACUGCGAGGCCCACAAGCCGAGCAGGUGCGAAAGCAGGCUCUAGUGAUCCGGCGGCCCCGAGUGGGUGGGCCGUCGCUCAACGGAUAAAAGGUACUCCGGGGAUAACAGGCUGAUCUUGCCCAAGAGUCCACAUCGACGGCAAGGUUUGGCACCUCGAUGUCGGCUCAUCGCAUCCUGGGGCUGGAGCAGGUCCCA